Peromyscus eremicus (cactus mouse) is the source of this 1179-nucleotide long non-coding RNA. RefSeq lists it as uncharacterized. The record is from RefSeq and is a predicted model, not a curated record. The transcript is spliced from 5 exons. Lineage: Eukaryota; Metazoa; Chordata; Mammalia; Rodentia; Cricetidae.
ACCCUGACGCCUCGCAACACCAUGGCCGGUCCCGGGGCGAAAGCCGAGCGGCCGGGCGCCCUAUCCGCCCUGGACGACCCAUCCGACAUCGCAUCCCCGCCUCCCUCACGCGCCUGCGCGGGACCUGCCAAGGAGGCUGCGCGCUUGCGCACUCCCCGCCCACCCGCGGUCGUCCCCGGCCAAAGUCUAUUUGGCUGGUCUGCUUCGUUCUGAUGGUCAAGUUCAUGCUUAAGUCCUUGCCCUUAAGAACUCCGGCGUGUGAGGGUCCCUCUCUCCGGAAGCUUUCGUACUGCCACCCGAAUCCCUGCCUCCAUCCUUCAGUGAGUGACUAAAGGAUGUUAGCUCUCAGCUACUGCUCCUGCACCAUGCCUGCUGCCAUCCCUCCACUAUGAUCUUCAAGGACUUAGCCUCUGAAACUACUCUAGAAGAACACAGAGAUCAUGACAAGUGAUAAAAAUUACAGGGGAAAAAAAUAAGAGCCAAAAAGUCUUUCACGGACAGCUCCCCAAGGAGCUCCAGCAGGUGUUGAGUAUCAGUAAUGCACAGCAUAAAGAAAAGGACCUGUUCUAGCUUCCUCCAUCGGCCAGUGGAGGCUGUGAAGACUACUAAUAAUGCCAAGCUUCAGGCGAAGGGCGGACAGGCGUGAUAACCUGACCAGCUGGGGGAUUCGCAUGGAGAACAGAACUGCCAUUAGGCUCUUCCCUGUCCGUGGACUGCCUCUGUUCAAGUGAUGGCAGCACUCGUGAGACCUGUGAUUGAUGACGUCACGUACCUGUACAUGCUGAAGACUGUGUUGCCAUUGUGCAUAAGGUACACGUACACUUCCUCCACAUCCUCAUGCUUCAUCAUGCUGAAGGUGAAGAAGUACACACCUGGAAAGGACACGGAUUUACUCAUGCACUCAUACAUCCAAGGUUUUGAACUACUAGCUAUACAAGAGAAGAAAACAGAAAUAUCUACAAGAAAAAACUAAAGAAGCAAUGGGCCAUUCAUGUUUCUUUUCUAUAAAGAUAUCAGCUAUGAAGAUCCUUCUGAUGUUGAGUCACAAAAGAACAGUUUUGCUUUGUUACGUGUCAGAGAUGCAUAUUUGAUGGCAAUCAGUGAUGCCCAUUCAAAUACCUAGAGACUGGUUCAUAGAUGAAAAGCAAAGACAUGAAAAUUAAAGGAUUUCAAGAGAUA